This is a long non-coding RNA of Nymphalis io (European peacock), 504 nucleotides long. RefSeq lists it as uncharacterized. The transcript is spliced from 2 exons. The record is from RefSeq and is a predicted model, not a curated record. NCBI's taxonomy places the organism in Eukaryota, Metazoa, Arthropoda, Insecta, Lepidoptera, Nymphalidae.
AAUAAUUUUAAGCAGAUAAAAAUAAUAUAUUAUAUACAUUAUUGGUAUAUAGAUGAUACGGUUAGGGAGCUGACGAGCAUAUCGAUGUGUGAUUUGUUCAUGUAUUAUAUACGAUAACCAUUAAAAGUCAUCAAUAUCAAAGUAUUUAGGCCAAUUAUUUGUAUUGAUAUGUCGCGGCAAUUAUAAGUUAGUGCUUCAAAUUUGUAAAAAAAAAAUAUGGUAGGAUUUUUUUUGUUCAUGUCUGCCUCUCAUCCCUGAUGGUUAAUAUCGUUUGGAGCUUCUUUCACCACGUUGUUCCAAUGCUGGUUGGUGGAAUACACAUGUAGCAGAAUUUCAGUGAAAUUAGACACAUGCAGGUUUCCUCACGAUGUUUUCCUUCACCGUAAAGCACGAGAUGAAUUAUAAUCACAAAUUGAGCACAUGAAAAUUCAGUGGUGCUUGCCCGGGUUUGAACCCACGAUCAUCGGUUAAGAUUCACGCGUUCUUACCACUGGCCCAUCUCGG